AAUACGUUCCCGGGCCUUGUACACACCGCCCGUCACGGCAUGGGAGUUGGUUUUACCCGAAGUAGCUAGGCUAACCGCAAGGGGGCCGGUUACCACGGUAGGAUUCGUGACUGGGGUG
Molecule: ribosomal RNA, 118 nt
Filed under: uncultured bacterium
Lineage: Bacteria
Description: partial 16S ribosomal RNA
Rfam family: Bacterial small subunit ribosomal RNA
Source: RNAcentral